CAUCAUGUCUAAGUCGGAGUCUCUGAAAGAGCCCGAAUAACUGGAAGGUCUUCAUUGGAGGGUUGAGGUUUGAAACAACCCAUGAGAGUCUGAAGAGCCAUUGUGAGCAAUUGGGAGCACUCAUGGACUGUGUGGUAAUGAGAUAUCCAAACACCAAUUGCUCCAGGGCCUUUGGGUUUGUCACAUAUGCCACUGUGGAGGAGGUGGAUGCAGCCCUAAAUGCCAUGCUACAUGAGGUAUGAGAGAGUCGUGGAACCAAAGACAGUUGUCUCAAGAGGAGAUUCUCAAAGACUAGUUGCCUACUUAACUGUGAAAAAGAUAUUUGUUGAUGGCAAAAAAAAAAAAAGAACAUCACCUAAGACAUUACUUUGAAGAAUGUGGGAAAAUUGAAGUGACUGAAAUCAUGAAUGACCGAGGCAGUGGCAAGCAAAGGGAUUUUGCCUUUGUAACUCUUAAGGACCAUGACUCUAUGAAUAAGAUUGAAGUACCAUAUUGUGAAUGGCCACAACUGUGAAGUUAGGAAACUUCAAAGAGUGUUCAGUAAAUUCAUCCCUGUCAAAGCAAGAGAAGGCUAGUGCUUCAUUGAGCCAAAGAAGCCAAAGUAGUUCUGGAUGCUUUGGUGGUGGUUGUGGAGGUGGUUUUGGUAUGAACUAUGAUUGUGGAGGAAUCUUCAGUGGUCGUAGUAGCUUUGGUGGCAGCCGUGGUGGUUGUGGAUAUGGUGGCAGUGGGAUGGCUAUAAUGGAUUUGUAAAUGAUGGAAGCAGUUUUAGAGGUGAAGGAAGCUACAGUGAUUUUGGCAGCUACAACAAUCAGUCUUCAAAUUUUGGACCCAUGAGGAGAGAAACCUUAGGAGGCAGAAGCUCCAGCCCCUCUGGUGAUGAAGGACAAUCCUUUGCCAAACCAUGAAACCAAGGAGGCUCUCGUGGUUCCAGUAGCAGCAUUAGCCAUGGCAGUGGCAAAAAUUCUAA
RNAcentral lists this long non-coding RNA (967 nucleotides) under Homo sapiens (human). Its description in RNAcentral is "non-protein coding lnc-CREBZF-6:1". Lineage: Eukaryota; Metazoa; Chordata; Mammalia; Primates; Hominidae. The record is from RNAcentral.